CGGAAAUAUUAAAAAAAAAAAGUUGUGAUAUAUAAUCUUCAGACUCUUACAGUAAAAUGAACCAAGAAGAAGAAAAAAUCCCAAACACGAUCAUAGAGUGUCUGUGGCUGGAAGGAAACACAAGGAUGAGGGGAAUGAACAUCUUACUACUGUGAAGCCCGGAUAACAGAAACGUGCGUGUUAGGGGGGAGUCAUAAGUGGACUCGGUUUGGCCCCAUCAUGGCAAGACCCUGACUUCAACGAUAGGAGGUUAAGUACCAGCUUCAAACACUCAAUGUGUUCUGUGAGUUUCCAGUGAUAUUUCUACCUGGCACUUUCUUCUACAUUUACCUUAAUGGCUCAGCUGGAACUCAGCCAUCACCGCUUAAUGUUCUUGAGUUUUAUGCAGUAUUGGCAGCAGCUUCCUUAUUGUCCUGAUAUUAGAAGUAGAAAUUCCACCCAGUUGCAGCCAGGCUGUUGCUGCCCAGGCAGUGGAGGGGCAUUUCCACUUUUUAGGAGCUUGUCCCUUUCAACACUGAGAGGCCUUUUGUCACCUUCACAGGUCAUCAGAUUUAUGAGAAAUCUUCCCAUUCCCAGAGUGGUUCUGCCAUCAGCCAUUUUACUCUGCUUUUUACUCUGACUUUCUUCUCUCUUGGCUAUAGUAGGAAAAUCUGCUCCAAUAAACAUGACGUUGUUAAUAUAUGUAAAGCAUUUAGAAGAAUGCUUCAUAUGUAUUAAGAGCUAUUAUCAUUAAUAUUAUUGUUGUUACUGCCACCAUCUUGGAUUAGAAGCUGAAGCCCAGCCGAGCCUCUGAUUUUUCUCUGGUUAUGCUGGGUGGCUUAAGAAAUUCCAAAUUAUCUAGGAAUGGGGUAGAAAAUACUUGGUUUCCUCUCCAUUUUUUGGCCAUGGUCAACCCAAAGAGCCUUAAAAAGAUCAAAGUAUUAUCACUGUAGUAUAUUUACUUGUUGGAGCUUUAACAUCCCCUCUCUGGAUUCCUGACUUGGCAGUGGGACGGAUAACCCAGAAAUCUCUACAUAGAAUGAUGCACAGCCAUCCAGUGUUUACCAAACAGUAGGUCGAUGUGGGACAGUAAUAAACAUCAUAACUCACAUUAUUGAGCACUUUAGUAUGUGCCAAAUAGUGUUCUAAGUGCUUUUAUAUAUACUAUUUCAUCUUUUCUUCAUAAAAAUCCUGUGUGUAGGACUAUUAUCCUCGUUUUAUAAAUGAAGAAACAAUCAUAAAGAGGUUAGGUAACUUGCCUAAAGCCACAAAGAUAAGUGGAAGAGCCAGGCUAUGUACCCAGGCAGUCUGAUCCCAUAGCCUUUGCUAAUAACCACCUCACUGUGCUGAUAGGGAGAACCCUGGAUCUGAGACGGCCCAGUUCUGAUCUCAGCUCCUCAACUCCAUCCUUUAACAAGUCUAAUGAUCUUGGGGAAAUUACUCAACCUUUCUGAACCUGUCUACUCAUCUGUAAGAUAGGGAUGGUACACUACACUGGUGCUCAAGAUGGAAGAGGAAAUUUGUGCCUCCUUGGGGUCCUAGUCUGGGGUGGAGAAGAGGACUAACAUGGGACCAAACCAUUACAAUAUAAUAUAAGAAAUGCCACUGUAGAGGAAUGUACAGAGAAAGGAACAUCUUCCGAGCUGGGGCAGGGCGAAGUCAGAGGAGCUUCAAGGUGCCAGUAAUGUUUGUGUUUGGUAUUGAAAGACAAGAUGGGAGAGUUCCCUGGCAGUCCAGUGGUUAGGACUUGGCGCUGUCACCGCCAGGGGCUCGGGUUCUAUCCCUGGUCAGGGAACUAGGAUCCCGCAAGCUGCUCAGUGCGGCCAAAAAAAAAAAUUUUUUUUUUCUUUUGAAAAAAAAAGAAAGACAAGAUGGGAUUGAAUGAGGUGGACGGAGGGAACAAGUUUCCAGGCAGAAGGAAUAGCAUGAGUACAGGUGCUGGAGCCUGGAAGAGCUUGGCAGUCUGUGUUCAGGUAACGGCUAGAGGAUCGGUUUGCAGCUGGAGAUUGAGGAUGAGGUAGGAACUGAUGGUGGCGAAUACAUUGCAGAGCGGGGUACACAAGCCUUCAGAUGUCAGUAUGUCCUGCGCCAUCAAGACAGACACUUUUUUUUUUUUUUUUUUUUUUUUUUUUGCGGUAUGUGGGCAUCUCACUGUUGUGGCCUCUCCCAUUGUAGAGCACAGGCUCCGGACGCGCAGGCUCAGCGGCCAUGGCUCACGGGCGCAGCCGCUCCGCAGCAUGUGGGAUCUUCCGGGACCGGGGCACAAACUCGUGUCCCCUGCAUCGGCAGGCGGACUCUCAACCACUGCACCACCUGGGAAGCCCCAAGACAGACACAUUUAAAAACAAAACUUAAUAAUGAAAUUAAGUAAAUUUAACAAAAAAAAUGCUCUACUUUUUUAAUUGAACUAUAAUUCAGGUACCAUAAAAUUCACCAUUUUACAGUGUACAAUUCGGCAGUUUUUAGUGUGUUCACAAGGUUGUACACCUCUCUCUAAUUCCAGAACAUCUUCAUCACUCCAAAAAGAAGCCUACUACCUGCUAGCAGUCACCCACCCCACCCCCCAUCCUCCCUGGUCCUCAUCCUCCGGCAACCCCUGCUCUACUUUCUAUCUCUGUGGAUUUGCCUAUUCUGGGCAUUUCAUAUCAAUCACACUAAGUUUGACCUUUUGUUUCCGGCUUCUUUUACUAGGCAUAAUGUUUUCGAGAUUCAUCUAUGUUGUAGAGUGUACCAGUAUUUCAUUGCUUUUUACGGCUGAAUAACCUCAUUUUGCAUGGUUAUACCACAUUCUGUUUAUCCAUUCGUCAGUUGGUGGACAUUUGGGUCGUUUCCACCUUUUGGCUGUUAUGGAUAAUGCUGCUAUGAACAUUCAUGUGCAGGUUUUUGUUUGAUACCUGUUUUAAGUUCUUUGGGAGUGUAUACCUGGGAGUGGAAUUGUGGUUAACUCUGAGUUUAACCAUUUGAGGAACCUAUCAGACUGUUUCCACAGUGGCUGCACCUCUGCAUCCCACCAGCAACACGAGUUCCAACUUCUCCACAUCCUUGCUAACACUUGUUAUCCCCCCUCCCCUUUUUAAAAUUAUUGCCAUUCUAGUGGGGGAAAGUGAUAUCUCAUUGUGGUUUUGAUUUGCAUUUUCCUAAUGACUAAUGAAAAGAUGUUGAACAUCUUUUCAUGUGCUUUUUGGCUAUUUGUUUACCUUCUUUGGAGAAACGUUUAUUGCAGUCCUUUGCCCAUUUUUUAAUUGGUUUGUUUGUAUUGUAAUAGUUCUUUAUAUAUUCUGGAUAAUAGACUUUUAUCAGGUAUAUGAGAUAUUUUCUUCCCAUCUGUGAGUUGUGUUUUCACAUUCCUGAUAGUCCUUUGAUGCACGAAAGUUUUUGAUUUUGAUGAAGUCUAGUUAAUCUGUUUUUUCUUUGGUUGCUUGUGCUUUUGGUGUUAUAUUUUGUGGGGGUUUUUUUUUUUUUGGUGUUAUAUUUUGCAUGUGUAUAUCUAGCUGUCCCAGCACCAUUUGUUGAAAGAGUAUCCUUUCCCCACUGAAUGGUCUUGGUACCCCUGUCAAAAAUCAAAUGACCAUAGAUGUAUGAAUUUAUUUCUGGACUCUUAAUUCUGUUCCAGUGAUAUAUAUGUUUAUCAUUAUGCCAGCACCAUAUUAUUUUUAUUAAUAUAACUUUGUGAAUGCUCUACUUUUAUUACCCUAGAUGUGCUUCUGAUAUGUAGUACAUUUGUGUAUUGUGAUUAGUAUUUUGUAUUUUCCUUUUUUUUUUUUUGGAGCAUGUACUUUUGUGUGGAUCAUUUAUAUAAUUAGUACCCUUGUCAUUUAAAAUAAUUAUGAAGUGUUUGUUUUAUUGCCUUACUGUGCUGUGCUUGCUUUUGUCAAACUCUUAUGUCACGCUGUUUUCUGAGUUGGUUUUUACUCUUUUAGAUAGCCUUGUUUGCACUGUUUUUUCUGGACCCAGGCUCAUUAGCUAUCAAGCCUCACCCGCUGGAUGUCAGGGAAUGCUGGCUGAGUUUUUUAAUUCAUGCUCCCAGAAACUUGGAGGACCACUCCCACCUGCCUCAGCCCAGACCCAGUACUUCCUGCCAGUUGUGAAUUGAAUUUCUGACCUCUUUCUUGAACCAGAGCUCUCCAGAGGUCAGGAGUGGCACCAGCCUUAGGAUCUGCUGUAUACUUUUUUGUAAAUUACUAUCCCUGAGUUGUCAUACUGCUGAGGAGACACAUGGGAAAAAACUAUCUUUUGAACUUCUCUCGUGCUGCCAAAACAAGCACCUACAAGUGCUGUUUCCAUAUGCAAUAUGUCCCUGUCUUUAGAAAGGAGGAGCUCCCAGAGAGAAUGGGACUUGUUCAGGUUGCCCAGUGACCACACAGUGCUACUAGGAACAGAAUUCAUCCCUCACUCCCAUGGAUUCUCGUCUUGUCAUCCUAACCAAACACUCCUUUCCUAUUGGGCAACAGAAGAUAGAAUUUACAUUUCAGUAGUUUCCCCAGGGGAGGUCUUGAGUUUCUUCUUCCCUGCUCUUGUGAAUAACCAGGUAAGGAGACCCAGUGAAAUGACUUGCACGCAUUGUGCUGCUCCUUAACAGAUCAAGAUCAUUGGCUCUGGCAGCAGACCUGUGAGAGGAGGGGCAGGAGAGAAAGUUCACAGCUUCAGGGUGUCCUGAGCUCUUUAGGGAUUUUGGAUGAGCAGAGAUGCCCAGUUUUCUCCCAUAACAAACAGGGUAUCUUCUGUGAAACUUGGCUCUAGUGGUUAUUGACCAACUUGUUGGUAUAUAUAAACUUUUCCUAUGGGAAUUUUCAAACAGAUGCAAAAGUCGAGAGGAUAAUGUAAUGAAUUACCAGGUACCUGUCACCCAGCUUGUGGAAUUAUCAAUAUAUGGCCAAUCGUGUUUCAUCUCUACCCCCUUUCGCUCCCUCUCCCCACUGGAUUAUUUUGAACCAAAAUUAGUAUAUUGAUCAAGUUUUCAGUUUCUACUUACUCUUGAAGUGGUUUCCCUCAGAUGUUAGGAUGUGAGCUCUCAUUUAGAUUGGUUUUAGCAGCUUCAUUGGGCCGGUCGUUCUCUCUCUGGCAGUGUUGUUGUACUGGCAGAAUCACAGGAAUUUUUUGGCCUCAAACUCUGUUCUUUUGUGCCUCCCACUCCCGGUGUCCUGGGAACCUGUCAUGCCUCUUCCCUGUGUUCCCAGUGCCUGGACCUCCUCUCAUCAGCUCUCCCAGGUCAUCAACCCUUACGUUGGAGGCUAAGAAUUUCUCUAUAUGAGGGUCUAGGCUGGCAGGUAGAAGGUGCUUAAUAACGAGUUGUUGAUGACUGACUGGAUGUAUUCUGUUUGGCUUUCCACUCACCUGAACCUCACACUCAGCUGUUUUAACAGUGCACUUGGUUCUGUGUAUCUUAAAUGAGGAGGAACUUACCUGAGCCUCGCCACUGCUUCUGUCCAGCUGCAGAGUCUGGAUUGGAUUUUCCUGGCUCCCCCUGCUGGCCACUCCUGGGCAGCUGCAUACAGGUGCCUCUGGUGGCGUAAGAUUGGAGCCAGAGCCAAGUUCUGCCAAGGGAAAGUAGAACAUUGUUGUGAAGUGCCCGGGCUAGUCCAGGCAGGUCUCAGUAGGAGAAGAGCAGCUUGAGAACCGUUCUGGGAAGGGCAGCUUUCUGGGUAAGGGACAGGGAAGGUGGGCCACUGCCCACAAAGUCAGGAGGGCAGGGUUGAGGCCUCAACACUGGAAGACCACAUGGGCCCGUAAAUGAGCUGGUCAUUGUGUGGGGAUUGGGGCCUAUACUGACAAUAGAGAUGGGCUCCUUCUCCCCUUAAGACAAAGCAGCCUGGGGUCAGACAUGGUCACCAGGCAAGCAGAGGGGCUACAGAGUUUUAUCUCAGCCUCCAUGAAAAUUGAGGCCAGGAGGGUGGUGAACGUAGAUGGGAGCAUCCCCAGAGUUCAUGGUCCCACGUGGGAUACAUGACCCCACCUCCUAGCUCUAAAGACAAGUAAUGACUCUGUGGAACUCUGGGUGCAUGUUUCUGUGGGGGCUCCUCCCUCCACUGUCUGUAAAUAUAAUAAAUUCCCCACAUCUGUCAACCCCUUCCAUCACAUUUCUUGGUUAUUUACAUGUAUUUGUCUUUUCCACGGCACAACUUCCCAGAAAGUGGGCUGUGGCAGAAUGCAUCUCGCCUGACUCCAGCCAGCUGCAGGUGUCUGGAAGAGGGUUGAAGAUGGUCAGAUGCUAAGGGCAGAGCCCCUCUUCUUCUCUCCACCCCCAAGCCGCAAGUGCCAGGGUAAGAAAGCUGAGAUUCAGAAGGGUUCUGCACAAGAGAGCCAAUUUUUGGAUGCUGCCACACAGAGAGAGACGACAGCCAGUCAGUCUUGAAGAGCAGCAGCCAACCAACAGAGAGAUGGCCACUUCCCCAUGGCCUCCCGGCCCCUGUCCACAGCCCCGCCGCAGACAGGAGCAGGGGGGAUGUGACAAGGGACAGACCGCCUUCCGCCACCCUCCACUCAGGCCACCAGGGCCAUGGCCACAUCUAGCUUCCCUGGGAGUGGAGGCCGAGAGCUUUGAAGGAGAGCUUGACCUGGACAUUUUUAAGUACCAGCCCGUGUAAUCCUCACAGCAGCUGCGAGAAUAAGAGUUGCACCUGCCAGAGCACACCCGGUUAGAAAGAGGUGGUGCUGGGAUCUGCACCCGCUGGCCAUCUCUGGAGACCACCAUGAGACAGGGCCCCUGGUGACCGCCCGGGGAAGGGGCAGGUGCAGCGCCGUGGAAGGUCGGAGGAGGGCAGAGGCAAACAAGGCCAUGGAAACGAGCCACAAGAGAAAGCAACAUUCACCUUUAAUUGCAUCACAGACCAAACGUUAACCCACUGAAGACCCGCCACCCCGUUAACUGGCUAGAAUGGGGGUGUUCCUGCGGCUCCACUGAACAGAAACAGAUCCUGAGACCUUAAGGUAAGCGUCUGAACACUGUCACCAUGUACAACGUCUAUCUAUUGCUUUACUGUACAAUCAGAGCGAGAAACAAAUGCAUUCGAUGCUGUGGAGGUAGAAGACACCGUGGUUGCUACCCCAACCCCAAAUGUCUGCAUCAGGACCAGCUGAGCUCUUCUUAGUCGUUAUCUUUUGAAUAAAUGUUACGCAUUUGAAUAGAACAAUUUAUGCUAACAAAAUACAGUUGACCCUUGAACAGUUUUCCAGGGUUUGAACUGAAUGAGUCCACUUAUAUGCGAAUCUUUUUCAACAGUAAAUACUAUGGUAGGUGGUACACCAUCUGCAGUUUGCUGAACCCGCAGAUGUGGAACCGCGGACGUGGAAGAAUCACAUACACAGAGGGCCGACACUAAGUUGUAUGUGUAUUUUUGACUGCCCGGAGGGUCGACGCCCCUAACCUCCGUGUUGUUCAAGGGUCAAGUGUACUGCUUUCAUGUUUUAUAUAUUGAGUUUAUUCAUCUGACAAAUGAGGGAGCUAAGUUUAGAGAGUAAUUUGCACAAAGCACAGGGCUCAGCUACUAGAGAAAGCAACACCCUGCCACUGCCGGGCCAGUGCCCUCCCGAUCCUCCUGACCACCCUGGGGUAUUCCUCUCCUCCCCGAUUUACAGCCGGGCAGACAGAGGUCCUGAGAGGACUCGGGGCAGCUGGACUGAGAACCAGCCCCUGAGCAUGUGUUCUUACCACCUCCAGCCUCAGCAGAGGUAGCUUCUGGUAAAAGGUGUGGAUAGUUUUUAUCAGUGUACUUGGUAGCCAGGGCUGUCCUGAUAGAGGUGACAGGUUCUGUGCAGGGAAACUUGAGCACUUAGGUGACUCAGAAAGCACCAUGGGUGCGGUCUCAUGGCCACAGGUGGGCCCCCCCCCGGCAGGACCUUGUGACCCAAUCAUAGGCCACAGUGGGUGGAAAACUGAAUCUUUCCCCAGCCCCACCAGACUGUAAACCAGAGUAAGGGGUGCCGUGAACACCUGCGGGAGAUAGGGGUGCACCUGUCGAUUUAUCUGGGGACGGGAGGCGGCUUGGCCAGACAGCGACUUGAGGACCACCGCCACAAUGGUGAGAGGCAGUGUGGUCUACACCGCAGAACUCAAAGGAGCCAACCAUGGACCAGGUGUUACAAAA
Molecule: long non-coding RNA, 8063 nt
Organism: Orcinus orca (killer whale)
Lineage: Eukaryota; Metazoa; Chordata; Mammalia; Artiodactyla; Delphinidae
Exons: 4
Source: RefSeq, a predicted model, not a curated record